RNAcentral lists this long non-coding RNA (422 nucleotides) under Gossypium raimondii (Peruvian cotton). RNAcentral describes it as "long non-coding RNA (GRAI_LNC002370)". The record is from RNAcentral. Lineage: Eukaryota; Viridiplantae; Streptophyta; Magnoliopsida; Malvales; Malvaceae.
AUUGGUUCGCGCUCUAAAACGGCGCCGUUUAAGAGCCACUGAAUCAGGCAAUACGGCGACGUUUCUUGAUUCUCCUUAAGUCCCCCUUUAAACCAUAUCAGUUACGCUAAACAGAAAUAAAAGAAACCCUAAAAAACAAUUUCAUUUAAAACAAAAUAAACCUAAACUAAAAGAGCUCUGCGCCGCAUCAGAAAUCAGAGGCCCCUCCCCCCAUCCAUUUGCGCCAUUUCAAACAUGAAACCCCCCAUCCAAACUCCGAUUUAUGCGGAGUAGACCAGGGCUCCGUCAGCACGCUUGUAAAGGUAAGAUUAACUCUUCUUUCUUUCUGGCGCCACAACCUUGAGGGUUCAUCGCCUCUUUUAGAGGCUCUCCGAACCAUGCCCCUAACUCCGAUGACAACGAAGAAAGGGCAAUCGGUCCAG